UACGUAGGGUGCAAGCGUUAUCCGGAUUCACUGGGCUUAAAGGGUGCGUAGGCGGGCAGGUAAGUCAGUGGUGAAAUCUUCGAGCUUAACUCGGAAACUGCCGUUGAUACUAUCUGUCUUGAAUACCGUGGAGAUGAGCGGAAUAUGUCAUGUAGCGGUGAAAUGCUUAGAUAUGACAUAGAACACCAAUUGCGAAGGCAGCUCGUUACACGUAUAUUGACGCUGAGGCUCGAAAGCGUGGGGAUCAAACAGG
Molecule: ribosomal RNA, 253 nt
Filed under: uncultured bacterium
Lineage: Bacteria
Description: partial 16S ribosomal RNA
Rfam family: Bacterial small subunit ribosomal RNA
Source: RNAcentral